This 202-nucleotide long non-coding RNA is filed under the name Mytilus galloprovincialis (Mediterranean mussel). The record is from RNAcentral. Lineage: Eukaryota; Metazoa; Mollusca; Bivalvia; Mytilida; Mytilidae.
AUCACAGUAUGUUUUUAGAGAAUUUAAACAGGAUUGAAGACCUUCUUUGUUUUCAGAUAGUAAUAGUAAAUCAUCAGCAUAUAAUAAUCAAUUCAUUCUAGUGUCUAUAAGCUGCACCGGAAAACAUGAUUCUUGGGGGAAAACUGAAUCAAUGUCAUUUACAUAUAUAUUAAAUAAGAGGGGGCUUAAGCCAUCGCCUUGU